Long non-coding RNA from Ornithodoros turicata, 345 nucleotides. RefSeq lists it as uncharacterized. The record is from RefSeq and is a predicted model, not a curated record. Lineage: Eukaryota; Metazoa; Arthropoda; Arachnida; Ixodida; Argasidae. The transcript is spliced from 2 exons.
CACAAGCGGAGGCGAACUCACUUUACGUGUAAGUCAAUUAUUGUUAUUAUUAUUAUUAUUACACGGAAGAAGCAUUAAUGACAGUGGCAUAAGGCAGCGAUGUCGUCAUCAGUUCAGGGACACUUCAGGACAUACAUUACAAGGUGCUGUACAGUACGGAAGAGGUAUGCUAAAUAGCCCAGGACCAGGCCGUCGUCCCAUGCCUCCUCAUUCUAAUCAUUCUAAUUUACGAUCGUCAUCUUUAUCUUCGCGAGACGGUGCACCUGCCAGAUAUAAUUCCCAAUGGCUUGCCUAUAAACGCUUGCUUGUUAAUGGCUGAAUAAAUUGCCUAUCGUUUGAGACUAA